Molecule: ribosomal RNA, 251 nt
Filed under: uncultured bacterium
Lineage: Bacteria
Description: partial 16S ribosomal RNA
Rfam family: Bacterial small subunit ribosomal RNA
Source: RNAcentral
UACGUAGGGAGCGAGCGUUGUCCGGAAUUACUGGGCGUAAAGGGUGCGUAGGCGGUUUGGUAAGUCAGAUGUGAAAUACCCGGGCUUAACCUGGGGGCUGCAUCUGAUACUGUCAGACUUGAGUGCAGGAGAGGAAAGCGGAAUUCCUAGUGUAGCGGUGAAAUGCGUAGAUAUUAGGAGGAACACCAGUGGCGAAGGCGGCUUUCUGGACUGUAACUGACGCUGAGGCACGAAAGCGUGGGGAGCAAACA